Molecule: small nuclear RNA, 107 nt
Organism: Camelus dromedarius (Arabian camel)
Lineage: Eukaryota; Metazoa; Chordata; Mammalia; Artiodactyla; Camelidae
Source: Ensembl
GUGCUCGCUUCAGCAGCAUGUAUACUACAAUUGGACCGAUACAGAAAAGGUUAGCAUGGCCCCUGUGUAAGGAUGGCAUGCAAAUUCGUGAAGCGUUCCAUAUUUAU